This is a long non-coding RNA of Homarus americanus (American lobster), 1038 nucleotides long. RefSeq lists it as uncharacterized. The transcript is spliced from 2 exons. NCBI's taxonomy places the organism in Eukaryota, Metazoa, Arthropoda, Malacostraca, Decapoda, Nephropidae. The record is from RefSeq and is a predicted model, not a curated record.
CCGCCAGCCUCUACAGCGCCGUUUAUAUCCUCCAAAUUCGCCUAACCAUCAUAAAAGUAUAUCUUCAAUGAUACCGGCUUCAAUAAACCUUUUUUCAGUACAUACUUAAAGACCAGUAUGUUUUCACUAUAUUUGCUGGGAUUUAUAUUUUGGAGCCCCUGGAGACACCAAUGUGCCCAAAGAAACCACGAUGAGAGUAUUUACCAGGUAAGUUAUUUAUUGCAAUUCAUAUUAGAUUAUUUUUUUGAUAUUUUUUGUAUGUGAUAUGGAAAUAAAUUUCUUUUAGGGUAAUUGUGUUGCUCUUUUUUCUGUGUUAACUAGACUUGAGUCAUGCUAUACAUACUGUAGAAUAUUUACUGAUUACAAAAGGCAUUGGUUAUUCCUUUUAUUUCCAAGGCCUCCAGACCACCAUUUUAUUUCAUAACUUUGCCUUCUCUUUCCCCCUUAUCCCCUUCACUUCCUCUUGUGCUGAAUAGAAUCAUCUGGCAUUAGCCAAAUGAAAUAUUUAAGAGACAAUGAAGGGGUUAAUACAGUAAAACCUUUAUCGUUUAUCAAUCAAUACUUUACAAAUUGGCUAGUUCAUACAUGCAGUUCAAUGUGUGUUAUGUUCACCAAAAAUUAAAUAUUUUACACUUCCAUCAAUAUUGCAAAAUAUAAAAUUAAAAAUAUAAGAAAAUGUGUUCAACAAAAAACAAUAGCAAAGCAAGUAGUGAUGUACAGUAUGUUCAUUGUACAGCCCAUUCUUCCUGCAUCACCUGAAGAGGCACUGGGAGGGAGUGUAUAUUAAUAUGAAGUGAAAAAUGUAUUGUCAAAGCACUUGGUCAGUAAUGUGUCCAAAUUUAAGCUUUCUAGCUCAAAAAUUUCCAUAAAUAACAUCCAGACAACAUUAAGUGUUGAGUUGAGUAUGCUUCUAAUAUUCUCUUGCUAUUACAGGAAGUGGAUUCAAUGGAGGAUGAAGAUUUACCGCUGUCAGACGUUUGGUAUGUUGAAUUGUACUUGCCAUUUGUAGUUGUGAUGUAAUAAAGUAUUAUGUUGAUG